Long non-coding RNA from Bactrocera latifrons, 609 nucleotides. RefSeq lists it as uncharacterized. The transcript is spliced from 2 exons. The record is from RefSeq and is a predicted model, not a curated record. NCBI's taxonomy places the organism in Eukaryota, Metazoa, Arthropoda, Insecta, Diptera, Tephritidae.
GAAAUAUUUCUCAUUAUCGUGACUUUCAAAUAUAUUUCAUGUUCGUUUCCACACGAAUACGAUUUUCCUUAUUUAUGUUUACUCCAUACCGCUGAAGUGUUAUCGAAUAUUUCGUUUAAACUAUACUUACAGACAUACCACAAUUAUUUCAUUAUCAGCAGAGAAGUCUUCUUCUCUAUCGGCGUAGCGGAGAAUUACUUUCACAAAAUUGCGGUAGUCUUCCACACAGUAAUGAACGCAAGAUUUGUGUAAACAGCAUCGUUCGGUAAUCACAUAAAAUGAAAUUUAUUGCGCUUGCAUCGGUUGUAUUUCUUAGUUGCUGUUGUUUUGUUGCAACCUCAGAGAUUUUCAUUAAUAAUAAUUUAAAUAAAAAUUCGGGUUUAACGGCCUUAAUAUUUCGGGUACCUUGUAGAAGAUGGCAUCCUAGCGGCCGUUGUCUUAGGAGCUACAAACGAUUUCUUGAUGAACCGUUUAACAGAAAAUUUAUGAACCCGAAGAAGAAUAAAGAAGGAAGAAACCCCUAAGCCCAUAUUUAAAUUUCAAGUGUUGACCGUUUGAGCAACUAGAAUAAAAUGUGUUCAUAAGCAUACUGAAUAUAAGAAACAGUUA